Molecule: small nucleolar RNA, 130 nt
Filed under: Macleaya cordata
Lineage: Eukaryota; Viridiplantae; Streptophyta; Magnoliopsida; Ranunculales; Papaveraceae
Description: Small nucleolar RNA snoR74
Rfam family: Small nucleolar RNA snoR74
Source: Rfam by way of RNAcentral
AAAAAAGCAGGGAUCUGUUGCCUUUGUGAACUGGUCUCUUGUAUACUUCAGGGAAAUCAUUUCAUUGUUAUUGGGUGAGCCUCCGUAGAUAAUACAAUUAUCAGAAGGCUCAGUAAAUGAUGAUACAAAU